This 497-nucleotide ribosomal RNA is filed under the name uncultured bacterium. RNAcentral's name for it is "partial 16S ribosomal RNA". It matches the Rfam family "Bacterial small subunit ribosomal RNA", at positions 28 to 507 of the family's 1533-position model. The record is from RNAcentral.
GAUGAACGCUGGCGGCGUGCCUAAUACAUGCAAGUCGAGCGAACAGACGAGGAGCUUGCUCCGCUGACGUUAGCGGCGGACGGGUGAGUAACACGUGGAUAACCUACCUAUAAGACUGGGAUAACUUCGGGAAACCGGAGCUAAUACCGGAUAAUAUAUUGAACCGCAUGGUUCAAUAGUGAAAGACGGUUUUGCUGUCACUUAUAGAUGGAUCCGCGCCGCAUUAGCUAGUUGGGAAGGUCACGGCUUACCAAGGCAACGAGGCGUAGCCGAACUGAGAGGGGGAUCGGCCACAUGGGAACUGAGACACGGACCAGACUACUACGGGAGGCAGCAGAAGGGAAUCUGCCGCAAUAGGCGAAAGCCUGGCGGAGCAACGGCGCGUGAGAGAUAAAGGUGUUCGGAGCGUAAAACUGUGUUAUUGGGGAAAAACAAAUUUGUAAGUAGACAAGCACGGAUUGACGGUAACUAAUCAGAAAGCCACGGCUAACUACGUG